AAUACUGGACAAUGGGGGCAACCCUGAUCCAGCCAUGCCGCGUGUGUGAAGAAGGUCUNCGGAUUNUNAAGCACUUUAAGUUGGGNGGAAGGGCUUUAGGUUAAUACCCGGAAGUUUUGACGUUACCAACAGAAUAAGCACCGGCUAACUCUGUGCCAGCAGCCGCGGUAAUACAGAGGGUGCAAGCGUUAAUCGGAAUUACUGGGCGUAAAGCGCGCGUAGGUGGCUCAGUAAGAUGGAGGUGAAAACCCCAGGCUUAGCCUCGGAACUGAUUUCAUAGCUGCUGAGCUAGAGUACGGUAGAGGGUAGUGGAAUUUCCUGUGUAGCGGUGAAAAUGCGUAGAUAUAGGAAGGAACACCAGUGGCGAAGGCGACUACCUGGACUGAUACUGACACUGAGGUGCGAAAGCGUGGGGAGCAAACAG
This 424-nucleotide ribosomal RNA is filed under the name uncultured bacterium. Its description in RNAcentral is "partial 16S ribosomal RNA". It matches the Rfam family "Bacterial small subunit ribosomal RNA", at positions 360 to 775 of the family's 1533-position model. The record is from RNAcentral.